GCCCUCAUGGCGGAAUUGGUAGACGCGCUAGCUUCAGGAGCUAGUGGCCUUACGGCCAUAGAGGUUCAAGUCCUCUUGAGGGCA
Molecule: transfer RNA, 84 nt
Filed under: Patescibacteria group bacterium
Lineage: Bacteria
Description: tRNA-Leu
Rfam family: tRNA
About the family: Transfer RNA (tRNA) molecules are approximately 80 nucleotides in length. Their secondary structure includes four short double-helical elements and three loops (D, anti-codon, and T loops).
Source: RNAcentral